UACGAAGGGGGCUAGCGUUGUUCGGAAUUACUGGGCGUAAAGCGCACGUAGGCGGCUCUUUAAGUCAGGGGUGAAAUCCUGGAGCUCAACUCCAGAACUGCCUUUGAUACUGAGGAGCUUGAGUCCGGGAGAGGUGAGUGGAACUGCGAGUGUAGAGGUGAAAUUCGUAGAUAUUCGCAAGAACACCAGUGGCGAAGGCGGCUCACUGGCCCGGUACUGACGCUGAGGUGCGAAAGCGUGGGGAGCAAACAGG
This 253-nucleotide ribosomal RNA is filed under the name uncultured bacterium. Its description in RNAcentral is "partial 16S ribosomal RNA". It matches the Rfam family "Bacterial small subunit ribosomal RNA", at positions 524 to 776 of the family's 1533-position model. The record is from RNAcentral.